UAUAUAUAUGUUAAUUGUAUUGAUAUUUGUUCGAAAAUGUAUUAAUAUUUUUUAUAAAAUAAAUAAACUUUAUCAGAUUCUUUUAGUUUUAGUAAUAUUUACCAUUUAAGCGAAGAAAAUUGAAAUUAAAUCAAAAUACAACAUAGUAAUAUGAAAAUAUAAAAUAAACAAGAUAUAAGAAGUGAGUACAUAAUUCUUUCAUGUGCUAUACGCAUUACAUUUAGUAAAAUGUGUUAUAUUUCAAUACUAGAAACGAAAAUCAUUGAAAAAACAAUUAUGAAAAUUAAUAGUUAUUACACUAUCUAAUUCAUAUAUUGGGGUUUUCCAUUUUGAUGUUCAGUCUAUGUCCUCACUCAUAUUAUAAUUUCACUGUUUUAUUGUGAAAGCUUGUUUACGUAGCUUACAAAAUGGAUACUGAGUACCUUGUUAGACAAGAAAUAGAAAGAAAAACAUAAACAUCUAUUUGUUAGUUUCAUAAAAUAUUUAUAAGAAAAAUAAAAGAUUUCAUGUACUUUUCUAUAACAAUACAUUGAUAUAAAAGUAAGAUAUGACGAUAUAGCUAUACUUGAGAUCUUGUUAAUGCACUUACACCUAGAUAAGAUCUUAUUAAUGCACUUAGAGUUUUGUGGUAUGAGAUUAUUCUAAUGAGAACACAGUGGAAAUGCUCUAGCGUCUCUUGUAAUUUUGUUGUUGUUUGGUCUAACCGUAUAAGUCUUCACAUUCAAAUUUAAUUGUUUUUUUUAAUAUUUUUUUUCACAGUUCUUUAGUCAAUUCUUGAAUUAUUUAUGUUUACAAAAUUGGUUUGUUCAAAGUUCAAACAUAAACAUUAGGUAAUAUUUAUAAAAAAUAGAUUUUUUUGUAUAUUUAUGGACUCAGUGUAAUAAAUAUCUUAUAUCUAUAAAUUUAAAAUUUCAAUAAAUUUGAAAUUUCAUCAAAAAAAAAAAAUCUUAUAUCUAUUAAAUGAGAUUUUUACUCGUAUAAUUUUAUGAUUAUUUGUAACAAAAAUUUUAAACUAUUGAGCACAACAAUUUUAAUGUGGAGCUUUUAAUAUUUUAGUAAUUUAUAAUCGUCAAAAUUAAAAAUACACAUAUACAAAAAAGCUAAUUUUAUUAUCUAAUUAAUAUAAUUGUUUAAUUGAUUUAAUAAUAUAAUUAAACAAAAUUGUUGGAAGAUAUGCAAAUUGUUAACAAACAAUUCUUAUUUAAUAUAAUUAAUUCUCAUAUUUGUUGAAAUCACAUUAGAUAAUUAUGUAACUUUUAUUUAAGAAAAGAUGAAGUAGAUUUUUUUUUAACAUUUGAUUAAUGAGUAUUCCACUUUAUUAUAUAUUAUGACAGCUAAGAGCAUUAGAUUGAAAAUAAUUAUAGUGUUGACACAUACACAUUAAAAGGUGAUUCUCAAUUAAUAUAUACGAGAUGAUUAAUGAAUGUUCCACUUUAUUAUAUAUUAUGACAGUUAAGAACAUCAAAUUGUAAAGAGUUAUAAUGUUCACAGAUAAGCAUUGUAAUCAAUGUUACAACUUAAAAUAAGAUUCUCAAUUAAUAUAUAAGAUAUUAUUUGUAUUUUCUGUUGAUUAAAUGUAUUCAUGAAAAUAAAAGAAAAGAGUUUUUUUUAUUUGACUAAGAAAAUACUUCUUAAAAUGUAUGUUUGUGUUCUUAUAUAUAGUUAGAAUGUGUGAAGAAAAACAAUAAGAAGUUAAAGAGAAUAUUUAAAACACAAUCCCAAAAUUUAGAGAUAAAAAAUGGCUAUCACAAGGAAGACUAUAAUCACAUUUGUUUUUACUAUCCUUUUCUUCGGAUCUUCUGUUCUUUGUCGUACUCCAGAUAGUGCCGUUACUCCAGCUAGCGUAGCUAGCGCUGUUACUCCGGAUAAUGGUUAUGGAGAAUUAAAUACGGACAUUUGCUUCACCGUCAUGUCACCGUGUAAUUGGCGAUAUCCACAUGGAGAAGCAAUGUGCAAUGACUAUUGUAAGAGAAAUAAAACUUAUUCUGGACAUUGUGAUGCUCAUGGAAGAUGUUGUUGUGUAAUAUAAGUAUGUGUCCAAGAUAAAAUCAUCUUAUCAUAUGUUUUUAAUAUCUGUAAUAGAAGAUCUAGAAUCAAAUAAACAAUAUUACCAGAUUGAAAUGAGUUUGCUUAAA
Long non-coding RNA from Brassica rapa (field mustard), 2135 nucleotides. RefSeq lists it as uncharacterized. NCBI's taxonomy places the organism in Eukaryota, Viridiplantae, Streptophyta, Magnoliopsida, Brassicales, Brassicaceae. The record is from RefSeq and is a predicted model, not a curated record.